Molecule: non-coding RNA, 72 nt
Organism: Telopea speciosissima
Lineage: Eukaryota; Viridiplantae; Streptophyta; Magnoliopsida; Proteales; Proteaceae
Source: the annotation of a RefSeq genome assembly
UUCUCAGUAGCUCAGUGGUAGAGUGGUCGGCUGUUAACCGAUAUGUUGUGGGUUUGAAUCCUACGUGGGGAG